Cygnus olor (mute swan) is the source of this 5066-nucleotide long non-coding RNA. RefSeq lists it as uncharacterized. The record is from RefSeq and is a predicted model, not a curated record. NCBI's taxonomy places the organism in Eukaryota, Metazoa, Chordata, Aves, Anseriformes, Anatidae. The transcript is spliced from 2 exons.
AGCGGCGGCCGCCGCCCCCGGGGCCGGCGGGAGGGCCGGGGCCGCCCCGCAGCGAGGGCUGGGCGCGGAGGAGGGGCCGGGGGCGGUGCGGAGGAGGAAGAGGAGAACGAGGAAGAGGAGGAGGAGGAAGAAGAAGAAGGGGGUGCCCUGACAGGAGCUGGGCCCCGAGGGCGGCGGGGCGCGGUGUGGGCUCAGCAUUGCGGGGGGAGGGAUUCACCCCCCCGGCCUGGCCGCCAUUUGCUGGGCGGGAGCCAUGAGGGGAGGGCGGUGGCUAGCCCGGGGGGUGGCAGGGUGGGAAGCCCCGGUCCUCAACUGAUCGGCACCGGCUUAAUUAAAGGCAUCGACUUAAUUAAAAGCACAUCUAGAGCCUUUACAGGAGCUGUCGCCAAGCUUAGAUGCGGCAGCUGUCCCUGUCCCUGCUUCCUAUGCUGGGGGUGGCAGCGGGGUGGUUCUUGGGCUUGCCCCUCUCCGCCUCGCUCCCUGCUCUGGUUGUAAAACGCUCAGAAAUAACGAGGCAAGCCCCAGGGAGACGGGAAGCAUGACUGCACAAAAGGGGCUGGAGGGGCCGAGGAGCGAAAUACUCCUCUUGGGAGAGCUGAAUGCCAGCUAGACCCAGCGUAUUUCCAGCCACAUGCAAAGCAGACAGUUGCUAAGGCAGCAGACUGCAGGGGCAGAUGAAGUGUGGCCCCGCUGCUGAAACAGGGCCUGGGAGCCAGGGCUCCCCCAUUGUUAGGUCCCACUAAUGGGGGCAGUGGGGUCUGCCAGCCCUCCGGCAGCCCCACCGGAUGCCUGGGUGGCGGCAGGGUCUGUAAAGCCCAGGGCAUGCCAGCCCCUCAACCCCUCGUCCCUCAGGGAGCAGAAUUCAAUUUGGCCUUCACAUUUGAAAGAGCACUGGCGCCAGGGCUGGGCAUCUUGGCCUUCGUUUUGCAUAAGGCAUCCUUCGCGUGGCAUUUAAAGAUGAAUUAAUAGUUGAUAAUGCUAUUUAUUGUCCGCGUUUGAAAGCUAGCCUUGAAAGUAAAAGGAUCCCUUCUUAAUGCAUUAUGUAAUCACCGGAGGAAAAAAGCUCUAGAGAACAGUUCAUGCAUUUUUCUCUGGACUAUCAACUCAAACUAAUUCUGUAGAUUUUUGAUUAGAAAUAAGCCUUAUUCAAGAAAUCUGUGUACAGUGACAAGGCAAUCCAGUGCUGAUGGAAGUUUUGUUCUCAAAAUGUAUGGGAGUCUCUGUGAGGAUAUAAGCCCUAGAGCAGAGGAAGAGAAUAAGACUAUUUCAGCAUUUCCUGUACUCAGAUGAACCUUAUCUCUAGCUUUUGGAAUUUGUCCUGCCUUUUUCACAAAGCAACCCCCAGGUUACCUGGGGAAAGAAAAACGUGUAAUGAGCAAGAGAGAAACAACCAAGAGGGAAAGUGCUUUGUUCACAACUAAUAGGUCUACUCUUAAUUAGGUGGGGUUUGAAAUAAACAAGGAGGAUCCGUGCUGUGGAGUGGCUGCUGCCAAGGGGUUACAGGUCUCUCAGUUUACUUAGACCACCUCUGGGAAAAGCCAGAACAAUUAUACCUCCUAGCAUUGAUCAGACAGGUGGAAAGACUUCUAAGACUUCUGUGUUUUUUUCAUGUAACCUACAUUUUACUUGUGUCUUUUUGCUCAGUUAAGGAAGACAACGAUUUAUCUUCAUGUGACCAUGUGUAUCAAUAAAAGCCGUGAUAGUUUUGGGGGAGAAACAAAACAUUUUCUUCUAUUCAAAACUCAUGAUUAUCUCUAUGAUCAAGGGUGAGAUUCUUUUUCCCAGUAGCCCUAAAAUUAGUACAUCUGUGUAUAUGAUCGCACUGAGGUCUGUGAAGUUUACUAACAAUUUCUGCAGGUGGGCAAGGUAGACCAAUUUUGAGAAUUUAGAAAGCAUUUCUGUUGAUGUUAGAAGCAUUACCACUGACAGGCUGGAAACACACUGGUGUGCCACUUAGUCUACUGUCUUAUUUCCAGCAAUAUUUUUUCUCUCACAGGAAUGCAGAACAAUUGACCAAAAAGUAGCAUUUUCUGUUUAACACCCUGAGGCUGAAUUAUGUCUCAUUAGUGUUUUAUGAAUACUGAUAGUUACUUCUAAAUGGUAUGAGUAGCCAUCGCAAGCUGAAAAGUCCUCUGAUGCAAACAUGAACUGGAAUGAAACAAGGUAAUUUAGAAUUCUACAGCAUUUACAUGAGACCAUGUUGUUAUCUCUCAUUAAAUAACAGGGAUGAAAAUUACCUGCUUGCAACAAAGCUAAAUAGAAUUUGGGAUUACACUUUAGGGUACGCACUGGUCAGUGAAAACAAACCAAAAAAAGAGCAGAGAGAAUAAUAUUAACUCCCCUUCUCUCAAUGAAACAGAAAAAUUGCUCUGCUGAAACGAAGUCUGGUGGUUUCACUGGGAAAAAUGUUGACACCAGCAUAGCAGAAUCAAGUCUCAUUAGGUAAGAAAAGGCCUGAAUUUUGGUACUCUAGUUAACACCAUCAGUGAAGUCAGCACCCUUAAGAUCAGCAACUCCAUGAUCAUUUCCUCUGUGACAAACCAUCAAGAACUGCUUUUUGAAAUUAUUAUCUACAAACUAUAUAAGCAGAGACACUAUAUAGUUCCUAUGUAGUAAGUCACUGCAUAAUCAUGAACUACUUCAAGCCGGUGUAAGCUUCCAGCUGAAAGGUCACUAUGCUUCCACAAUAAAAAUUGUUAUUCAACUCAAAGAAAAAAGUUGUAUGAGAAACUCUGAGUCUUCUGGAAGGGUAGUUCAGUAAACUGCUGAAGACCCUGCUAUAAAUCCUCAGGGCUGGCAAGCAAUAUACCUUGAACACCUUUUAUUACAGGUGACAACACUCAAGUAUUAAAGAAAAAGGAAAAAAAAAAAAAAAAGGCUUGGCUUUUACAGCCCAGCAUGAGAUAGUGGCUGCACACCACACCGGCAGUUGACUUACAAGUGUUUUAUCCUGUCCCUGCCAGAUGACAAUUCACAGGUUCUGGUGUGGUGCUCUUAUAGUCAUCCUAGGAGAAAAUGAACACAGAAUUAAUAUCAGCACUACCAAACAGCCUGACUUAUUCCUCACAAGGGGUUGUAGUACAUGCAUUGGAAGGCCCUUAUAAAUGAGCUCCAGAGUAUUGUUAGCUUACAGACUUUGAAUACAUGAUGUUAACUUCAAUUAAACAACAAAACGUAACACCGUUUUGUCUCCUUGUCAAUGAAAGUGAUUUGCAAUUUGUUUAAGGAUAAGAAGACCCAGCAUUUGAAACUACGUUUGAGGACAACUUUUCUUAUCUUCCCUUUUUCCUGAAUUUAAUGGGGAAAUGCCUAAUUAAAAUACAUACAUAAACAAACAUUUCUAGCUAGGAAACUCAAGGCCAAGUGAAAAUUAUCAUCAUAUAAAAAGAAACAUGGCAUGCAGUUACAAUUCAGAUGAUGAAAAAUUUUUAAAUUCAUGUGUAAAACUGUAUUACUUCUAACAUUGUUCGGAUUGCUUUGUAGCAAUGUGAUAUCACAGAAAGCUUUAAAUGAAAGUAGAAGUUUAAAUGAAAGCAGAAAGUUUAAAUGAACUUUCUCUAAAUGAAGCUUUGAAAUGCCUCAUUGGUACAGUAACCUGCCCGAUUAUUGACAUUGCUGUUGAGUCUUGUUUGUGUCCCCAGGCUGAACGCACAGCCUGCUUAGAGCUUUAUGCGCAGGAUGCACUGGUCUAGAACCUGAGAGAGAACAUCCAUAACUGCGUUAUCCAAAAUACCUAAAACUCCUUGAGUAGAAUACCUGCAUUGGGAUGUUUUAAAUAACAAUCAUACUGUAUCUCUGUUAAUACAGACCAGUAUAGUGCAUCCCUCUUCUUUGUCAGUGGGACAAGCUCUGAACCUAUAUUUGGAACUACAGGAAAUUUCUAAACCAUGUGUCAUGAAAAGUAUUUCUGAGAUAUCCUAGAUCAUUGAGUUAGUAGCUGGAUAGUGGCCCAGAAAAAAUAUAUUCCAGCUAGAACAGAAAUAGGGUUUUGGUUAGAGGACACACUUGCAGAUUUGUACACAGCACAGUUCUAACAAUUAUAAAAAUAAACAAACAACAACAAUUUGGAUAACUGAAGUCCUGCUCAGAUUAUCUCCCAUACAGCUAGGGCACAAAGCCCUGACACCUGGAGGAAUUAAAUACUUGAAAGUUUUAAAGCCAACGACUUUUUAAAACACAAAUACAGAUAUUUAAAUUUUGCAAAUGCUGCUCCACUACAAGCCAGAAGUAUCCUACUGGGGCUAUGAUGGUGUUUGCUCCAAGGAAUUCAAACAGUUGUUGCAGGGAAUCCAGAUGCUCCCCUUCCUGUUCGGCUGGAAUAUGCACAGUGGGUCCAUAACUAUUAUUUACAGUUUAAAAGGAUUUUUUCCCACUUAAGUGGAACUUGGGUGACAAGUAGCCCAGAGCUGACCAUCAGAAAAACUAGCAAAACAAAAAACAUGCCACUGCCAAGGUACAGCUUCCCCCAACAAGAGGCUUGGCAGAAGUCCUGCAAGUUCAUGGCCAGAAUUUCACCCCAGUGAACUUCCAUUUUCAGCACAUUCCUGCUCCUCCACAUCCGAGGAUCAAACCAGCUUUAUGAACAAAGCAAGCCGGAAACUGACAACCUGGCUGCAAAGGUUUCUCCCUGACAAAGACUGGCAUCUAGUUCGUCCUCAACAAAGAUGAGCAGUCACUGCGAGAAGCCCUUUGGAGAGGACCACAAUAUGUACAUCCAUGUGUGAAGAACUGGGGACACAAGAGUAAGAGCUUAUGGGAGAUGCAACGUACAAUCCUCUGCAUGCCAUUUCCAGAUGGAAGAUAAGGCAAGAAAAUGUCGUGUUAUAUUUAUACAAGAGUUGGUGUGUUAACUGCAACUGAAAAUGUUGCUGUUCUCCUAGAAAAUACGCCACAGCUUAGGCAUUAAAAGACCACCAGAGGACACUAUGGUGCCACUUACAUUCAAAAUUUAUUUACUUCAAGAAACUUCUCACCUCACGUUUUAAAGUUACUCAUAACUGUAUUUGGUGCAUCAAAUAGACAUUUUCUACAAAGAUGCAUUAAACUCAUCUUUAGACAGUGAAAAA